Long non-coding RNA from Periophthalmus magnuspinnatus, 698 nucleotides. RefSeq lists it as uncharacterized. The record is from RefSeq and is a predicted model, not a curated record. The transcript is spliced from 4 exons. Lineage: Eukaryota; Metazoa; Chordata; Actinopteri; Gobiiformes; Gobiidae.
GCUAACAGACGUUUUCACUCCGGAUUUGUCAGGAAACGACGGUAAAAACAGACCGAUGGACUCUGCACACAUUGUUUUUUGGGCAACUCUGGGAGAGCUUUUUUUUACACUUGAAGACACUUCCUCCAGCAUGUCCAGUGUGUCAUGGGUCUUCCAUGGGGUCUCCUUCCAGAGGGACAUGCCCAGAACUCCUCCUUGAAUCACCACCUUAAAGUAGUGGAAGGGUUUGAGCACCCGAAUGAUCCCGGGAGCCAUGUUGUCUGAGGCUUCAUGUCCCUGGUAGAGUUGCCCAUGGCAGGACAGAUCCUGGAGGUGGAUGCUCAUCAGCGAGUGUCUGGUGGUGGGGCCGUCCUCCCGUGCACCCACCACCUGUAGGAGGAUCCGUAAGGGGCCGGUGCAGAGAGAUCUUUGCGGCAGUUGACGGCGGGGGCUUCAAUGACAGACACUUAAAAGGUUGCUCGAUGGUAUAGCUGUACAACUUGAACCUUCCUCAGAUUAAAUGGUAACUGUUGGCAUCUUUUUCUUUUGGGAGAUGAUGUAAACAAAAGGCCGAAUUGAAGUGCUCUGCCGCAGUUUGUUCUCAGCACGACACAAUGACAAAGCUCGACCGAAGCGUUUCUGAUCCCACAUUUUAUUCAUAAGCACUUUCUGUUCUAUUCCUCAGUUUAGUCUGUCCAAUGUCCUUGUUUUUCAGGAGC